Molecule: long non-coding RNA, 553 nt
Organism: Phoenix dactylifera (date palm)
Lineage: Eukaryota; Viridiplantae; Streptophyta; Magnoliopsida; Arecales; Arecaceae
Source: RefSeq, a predicted model, not a curated record
GGCGGUGGUACGUUGUUGUAUACUUACCUGGACGGGGUCGAUGGGCGAUCAAGAAGGCCCAUGGCCUAGGCUUGCGGCCCACAUUGCACGUGGUGGGAGCGCUCGUCUACCAUCUCCCCAAGUGGGAGAGUGGGCGUCAUAAUUUGUGGUAGGAGGGGGUACGCGUCCGCGCGGCCCCUGCCAAUUUCAAACCUUAAACGCGCUCCGAACCCAUCAUUCAUCUGCGAGCAGUGGAUAAACCAACAACGGUGGAUGGUGAAUCUCUUCAUGCACCGUUGGUGAAUCUCUUCACCGCAUGAAGGACACAAAGAGGCUUUUGAACAAAAAAAAAGAAGAAGAAAAGGCAUCAGUUGAGAUCCAUGAAAGCUACCUAAAAUACCAGAUUAUCGGGAGUCAUGAAUUUUGACCCUCGAAAUCUAUUCAAAUUACGGAAUCUGCCACCUGUACUUCAAGUUUCUUUCCAUCCGCUGUAAUAGAUUAUCUUGUGAGAAAAUAUGGAUCAUUUAUUGUACAAUGAAUGGCAAACAAAAAUAAAAAUUUAUUUCGUAUAUAA